CACACAGGAAUGGUUGGAGAGAUGGACUCACUAGCUAUCAGAUCUGGAAACCAGUACAACAACCAAAGAAGACACCUAGAUAUGCCAUGGAAACUAAAUCUGGCAGUUCAUCAAAACUAAAUCUGGUAAAACACAAUCUUAAAAAUGUCAAACGUAAUUCAAGAAGAGUUACAAAUUCUGGAGAUGGAGAUCCUACUGUCGAGAAGAUAGAGCUGGCUCCAAUAGGUAUGGUCAAUCCAGAAAGACGUCAAUAUAGGAAGGGGAAGUCGGUCGACAAGAAGGAUGAAGAUCGAUUUGAUUUUUGCGAAAUGAUGAACCAAGCAAUGACGGUAUAUAUGCCUCGAUCAAAGAUUGAUAUCAUUAUGAAAUAUCGCAAAGAGAAACCUCCAACUUUGACGCCUGGUUACAUGAUGCCAACUAUAUCUGCUAUUACAAAAAUCCAUGAUAGUUAUGGAUCUGCUCAUCGGAAUUAUUUGGAGAUUUUGAAGAAUGAAAGAAGGAAGAGUCCUUAAAUAAUAAUGCAAGAUUAGCAGUUAU
Molecule: long non-coding RNA, 537 nt
Filed under: Zostera marina
Lineage: Eukaryota; Viridiplantae; Streptophyta; Magnoliopsida; Alismatales; Zosteraceae
Description: long non-coding RNA (ZMAR_LNC006117)
Source: RNAcentral